RNAcentral lists this ribosomal RNA (253 nucleotides) under uncultured bacterium. RNAcentral's name for it is "partial 16S ribosomal RNA". It matches the Rfam family "Bacterial small subunit ribosomal RNA", at positions 524 to 776 of the family's 1533-position model. The record is from RNAcentral.
UACGGAGGGUGCGAGCGUUGUCCGGAAUCAUUGGGCGUAAAGGGCGCGUAGGUGGCUUCUUAAGCGUGCGGUGAAAGCCUGGGGCUCAACCCCGGGUCGGCCGUGCGAACUGGGGGGCUGGAGCACUGUAGAGGCAGGCGGAAUUCCAGGUGUAGCGGUGAAAUGCGUAGAUAUCUGGAGGAACACCGGUGGCGAAGGCGGCAUCCUGGACCAAUUCUGACGCUGAGGAGCGAAAGCCAGGGGAGCAAACGGG